CAAGCUUCUACUACUCUUGAUUUCUUCUUUUGUAUGUAGUAUCUUGAGAUUGAUUUUGAACUACAAGCAGAUCUUGCCUCUGCUACUUAUAUGUUGAUGCUAGUGAUGAUUUGUUCAACGUGUAAUGAAUAUCCAGUGAUGCAUGGUGAAAGGAAGGACAUUAUAAAAGUUGUUGCAUGAACGCGUCGUGACAGAGUUGAGCAAGCUUCUCCUUCUCUUGAAUUUCUGGUGUAUGCAGUAUCUCGAGAUUGUUGUGACAAAAUGUUGAGCAAGCUUAUCCUUGUAUACAGUAUCUCUCUGGACCACAAGUUGAUGUUGAUCCCCCAGCUACUUACAUGUAUUAUGAUUUUAGUGAUGAUUUGUUCAAAUUGUAAUGUUAUUUUAGUCAAAGAAGUAGAAGGUAUCCGGUGAUGCGUUGUUAAAGGAAAUUUAUACAGUAAUGUACUUGAUAACUUUCUGAUGCAUUUGGUUUUAGAAUAUUUCUGCUAAUUAACUCUAAAUUGCUUUA
Molecule: long non-coding RNA, 508 nt
Organism: Lycium barbarum (goji berry)
Lineage: Eukaryota; Viridiplantae; Streptophyta; Magnoliopsida; Solanales; Solanaceae
Exons: 2
Source: RefSeq, a predicted model, not a curated record